GACGAACGCUGGCGGCAUGCCUAAUACAUGCAAGUCGAGCGGAUUGAUGGGGAGCUUGCUCCCUGAUAUUAGCGGCGGACGGGUGAGUAACACGUGGGCAACCUGCCCUACAGAUGGGGAUAACUCCGGGAAACCGGGGCUAAUACCGAAUAAUCAGUUGGUUCGCAUGAACUGACUCUGAAAGACGGUUUCGGCUGUCACUGUAGGAUGGGCCCNCGGCGCAUUAGCAGUUGGUGGGGUAAUGGCCUACCAAGGCGACGAUGCGUAGCCGACCUGAGAGGGUGAUCGGCCACACUGGGACUGAGACACGGCCCAGACUCCUACGGGAGGCAGCAGUAGGGAAUCUUCCACAAUGGACGAAAGUCUGAUGGAGCAAUGCCGCGUGAGCGAAGAAGGUUUUCGGAUCGUAAAGCUCUGUUGUAAGGGAAGAACACGUACGGGAGUAACUGCCCGUACCUUGACGGUACCUUAUUAGAAAGCCACGGCU
RNAcentral lists this ribosomal RNA (487 nucleotides) under uncultured bacterium. RNAcentral describes it as "bacterial SSU rRNA". It matches the Rfam family "Bacterial small subunit ribosomal RNA", at positions 28 to 498 of the family's 1533-position model. The record is from RNAcentral.